Non-coding RNA from Ixodes scapularis (black-legged tick), 82 nucleotides. Lineage: Eukaryota; Metazoa; Arthropoda; Arachnida; Ixodida; Ixodidae. The record is from Rfam.
GCAGUCGUGGCCGAAUGGUUAAGGGGAUGGACUACAAAUCCAUAGGGGUCUUCCCGCGCAGGUUCGAAUCCUGUCGACUGCG